Molecule: RNA transcript, 2699 nt
Organism: Mirounga angustirostris (Northern elephant seal)
Lineage: Eukaryota; Metazoa; Chordata; Mammalia; Carnivora; Phocidae
Gene: CD19
Gene name: CD19 molecule
Exons: 13
Source: RefSeq, a predicted model, not a curated record
GCUGUGCACGCACUUCAGGGGCAACCUGGCUUGUGCUCUCGGCCGUUGGCUGAUGCUGUCUCUCAUUAACUGAGGGCCUACUACGUGCUGGGCCCUGGGCUAAAAGUGCCAUACGUAUACUGCCCUGUUUAAUCUUCAUAAACAAGAUUUUGAAAGCACUAUUAUUAUCCCCAGUUUACAGAGAGAGAAGCAAAAGCCGAGAAAGAUGAAGCCAUUUAGCCAAGUGGUGGACAUGGAGGAUUCAAAGUCCAGUCGGCCAGAUCUCAAAGGAUGUGGGAUGGGCUGGUUGUACAGAGUGGGAAGAAGGCCCAAGGAAUGUGGGUCGAGUGAAUGAAUGGGGUGUGUGUGCGAAGAGAAAUGGGUUUAGAGCCUUGGGUUGAAGGAGGGAGGGGGAGAAGGAUGGAGUCCUUAAAAUUGUAGCCCACUCAAUUCAACAAAUUUAUUGGGCGCCCCAGAUGCCCCAAGCACUGUCCCAGAGCACGGUGCAUGCGGUGUUGAACAAGACCGAGGCUCUGCCUCAAGAGGCUUACACUCCAGUGGGAGGAACAGAAAGUGAACAAGCAGACACACAAACAAGGUCAUUUCACACGGUGGUAAGUGUCGGGAUGAAAAUAAAAGUGUGGCAGGGAGGAGACAAGUUUUGUGGGUCUGGAGGGGUGCACGGAGAAGGGGACUGGAGGCAUGACCACCCCUUCCUCCCUAGGGGGACUGCCUACCCGCCUGCCCGCCCCCACAGACGCUCAUGGUUCAGUGCCCCCCAGGCCCCCGCCUGCCCCAGCAUCCCCUGCGCGGCCAAGCUGGGUGCCCCGGGGAGUCUGGCCGCCAUGCCACCUCCUCUCCUUCUCUUCUUCCUCCUCUUCCUCACACCCGAGGGAGUCAGGCCCCACGAAACACUGCUGGUGGAGGCUAAAGAGGGAGGCAAAGUUGAGCUGCCAUGCCUCAGAGGUCCCUCAGAUGGUCGUCCUGAGCAGCAGGCCUGGUUUCAGAGGUCUCAGUCAGAGCUGGGCCACAGGUCCCAAGGCCUGGGCAUCCAGAAGGGGUCCCUGGGCGUCCAGCUGUUCGUCUUCAACGUCUCUGACCAGAUGGGGGGCUUCUACCUGUGCCAGCUGGGGCCCCCUUCCGAGCAGGCGUGGCAGUCUGGCUGGACAGUCAGCGUGGAAGGCAGUGGGGAGCUGUUCCGGUGGAAUGCUUCGGCCCUAAAUGACUCAGGCUGUGGGCUGGGGAACAGGUCCUCACAGGGCUCCAAGCCCUCUUCUGGUUACCCCACAAGCUCCCGGCUGUAUGUUUGGGCCAAAGACCACCCUGAGAUCUGGGAGAUAGACCCUGAAUGUGCCCCACCCAGGGGCAGUCUGAACCAGAGCCUCAACCAAGACCUCACCGUGGCCCCUGGCUCCACAUUCUGGCUGCCCUGUGAGGUGCCCCCUGCCUCCGUGGCCAGAGGCCCCAUCUCCUGGACCCACGUGCGCCCUAAGAAGCAUAACAUCUCCUUGCUGAGCUUAAACCUGAGGGAGGAUGACCCAGGCAGAGAGAUGUGGGUCCUGGGCACCCUCAGGGGAGGGGCUGUUCUGUUGCUGUCCCAGGCCACAGUUCGAGAUGCUGGCAUCUAUCGUUGUUACCACGGCAACGUGACCAUCAAGAUGCAGCUGAAGGUCAUUGCCCAGUCAGUAAGGUAUUGGCUGCUAGAGGCUGGUGGCUGGAAAGUCCCUGUUGUGCCAUUACUUUAUCUGAUCUUCUGCCUGGGUUCCCUGGUGAGCUUUCUUCAUCUUCGAAGAGCCCUGAUCCUCAGGAGGAAAAGAAAGCGAAUGACCGAUCCCACCAGAAGGUUCUUCAAAGUCACGCCCCCCCCGGGAAACGGGACCCAGAAUCAGUAUGGGAACGUGCUCUCCCUUCCCACGCCCUCCUCCGGCACGGGACGCGCCCUGAGGUGGGCUGCAGGCCUGGGGGCCGCCGUGCAGUCUUACGGAAGCCCGCGCAGCGACGUCCCGGAGCCCGGAGCCGCGGGAUCCCGGAGCCCGCCGCCGGCAGGCCCAGAAGAAGAAGGGGAGGCCUAUGAGGAGCCAGACGGUGAGGAGGGCUCCGAGUUCUACGAGAAUGACUCCAACCUUGGGCAGGACCAACUCUCCCAGGAUGGCAGCGGCUAUGAGAACCCUGAGAAUGGGGCCUUGGGUCCUGAGGAUGAAGACUCCUUCUCCAGCGGUAAUUUGGGGUCCUUGUGGGGCCUCAGAGGCUUGGGAGGACCCAGACGGCCGUGGAGCCCCUACAGGGCAGGAAUGGCCCCUGGAGUUCUCUGUUUUCCUGCAGCAGCAGAGUCUUACGAGAAUGAGGAUGAAGAGCUGGCCCAGCCAGUCACCAGGACAGUAGACUUCCUGAGCCCCCAUGGGUCAGCCUGGGACCCCAGCAGGGAAGCAAUCUCUCUUGAUUCCCUCUGUGUCUUAGGCUGCACUUCCGUUCCCCAAGUCCAGCGUGGCUCUAGGCCUCCAACUCUCCUGCCCAAGCAGGCUCCCAGUCGUACGAGGAUAUGAGAGGGAUCCUGUAUGCAGCCCCCCAGCUCCGCUCCAUCCGGGCCCAGCCUGGUCCCAACCAUGAGGAAGAUGCAGACUCCUAUGAGAACAUGGAUAUGGAUAAUCCCAAUGGGCCAGAACCAGCAUGGGGAAGAGGAGGCCACAUGGGCACCUGGAGCACUAGAUGAUUCCCUUCAG